GUUGUAUGGUUAAGUGACUAAGCGUACACGGUGGAUGCCUUGGCAGUCAGAGGCGAUGAAAGACGUAGUAACUUGCGAUAAGCCCAGAUUAGGUAGUAACAACCAUUUGAGUCUGGGAUUUCUGAAUGGGGAAACCCACGUGCAUAAGCACGUAUUCUUACCUGAAUACAUAGGGUAAGGAGGCGAACCGGGGGAACUGAAACAUCUAAGUACCCCGAGGAAAAGAAAUCAACCGAGAUUCCGAAAGUAGCGGCGAGCGAAAUUGGACUAGCCCUUAAGCUUUACACGCGUUAGACGAACGGUCUGGAAAGUCCGACGAUACAGGGUGAUAGUCCCGUAGUUGACGACGUGUGUUCAGUGAAAUCGAGUAGGGCGGGACACGUGAUAUCCUGUCUGAAUAUGGGGGGACCAUCCUCCAAGGCUAAAUACUACUGACUGACCGAUAGUGAACCAGUACCGUGAGGGAAAGGCGAAAAGAACCCCUGUGAGGGGAGUGAAAUAGAACCUGAAACCGUGUACGUACAAGCAGUAGGAGCAGGCUUGUCCUGUGACUGCGUACCUUUUGUAUAAUGGGUCAGCGACUUAUAUUCAGUGGCAAGGUUAACCAUCUAGGGGAGCCGUAGGGAAACCGAGUCUUAACUGGGCGUUCAGUCUCUGGAUAUAGACCCGAAACCAGGUGAUCUAGCCAUGGGCAGGUUGAAGGUUGAGUAACAUCAACUGGAGGACCGAACCGACUAAUGUUGAAAAAUUAGCGGAUGACUUGUGGCUAGGGGUGAAAGGCCAAUCAAACCUGGAGAUAGCUGGUUCUCCCCGAAAGCUAUUUAGGUAGCGCCUCGGACGAAUACUACUGGGGGUAGAGCACUGUUAAGGCUAGGGGGUCAUCCCGACUUACCAACCCUUUGCAAACUCCGAAUACCAGUAAGUACUAUCCGGGAGACACACGGCGGGUGCUAACGUCCGUCGUGGAGAGGGAAACAACCCAGACCGCCAGCUAAGGUCCCAAAUUACUACUAAGUGGGAAACGAUGUGGGAAGGCUCAGACAGCCAGGAUGUUGGCUUAGAAGCAGCCAUCAUUUAAAGAAAGCGUAAUAGCUCACUGGUCGAGUCGGCCUGCGCGGAAGAUGUAACGGGGCUAAGUAGUAAACCGAAGCUGCGGCAAUAUACUUUUGUAUAUUGGGUAGGGGAGCGUUCUGUAAGCGGUUGAAGGUGUGUGGUAACGCAUGCUGGACGUAUCAGAAGUGCGAAUGCUGACAUGAGUAACGAUAAAGGGGGUGAAAAACCUCCUCGCCGGAAGACCAAGGGUUCCUGUCCAACGUUAAUCGGGGCAGGGUAAGUCGACCCCUAAGGCGAGGCCGAAAGGCGUAGUCGAUGGGAAACGGGUUAAUAUUCCCGUACUUCUUACAAUUGCGAUGGGGGGACGGAGAAGGCUAGGUGGGCCUGGCGACGGUUGUCCAGGUUCAAGUGCGUAGGCUU
Molecule: ribosomal RNA, 1473 nt
Filed under: Vibrio parahaemolyticus
Lineage: Bacteria; Pseudomonadati; Pseudomonadota; Gammaproteobacteria; Vibrionales; Vibrionaceae
Description: partial 23S ribosomal RNA
Rfam family: Bacterial large subunit ribosomal RNA
Source: RNAcentral